CCCUUAGAUGUUCUGGGCCGCACGCGCGCUACACUGUUCGACGCAGCGAGUCUUAACCUUGACCGAAAGGUUUGGGUAAUCUUCAGCAAAGUCGAACGUGAUGGGGAUCGAUCAUUGCAAUUAUUGAUCGUGAACGAGGAAUUCCUAGUAAGUGCAAGUCAUCAGCUUGCGCUGAUUACGUCCCUGCCCUUUGUACACACCGCCCGUCGCUACUACCGAUUGAAUGGUUUAGUGAGAUCUCUGGAUUGACGCUGGCUAGGGGGCGACCCUUGGCCAGGCUGUCGGGAAACUGCUCAAACUUGAUCAUUUAGAGGAAGUAAAAGUCGUAACA
This 331-nucleotide ribosomal RNA is filed under the name uncultured eukaryote. RNAcentral's name for it is "partial 18S ribosomal RNA". It matches the Rfam family "Eukaryotic small subunit ribosomal RNA", at positions 1470 to 1796 of the family's 1831-position model. The record is from RNAcentral.